Molecule: ribosomal RNA, 423 nt
Filed under: uncultured bacterium
Lineage: Bacteria
Description: bacterial SSU rRNA
Rfam family: Bacterial small subunit ribosomal RNA
Source: RNAcentral
GGAAUAUUGGACAAUGGGCGCAAGCCUGAUCCAGCCAUGCCGCGUGUGUGAAGAAGGCCUUCGGGUUGUAAAGCACUUUCAGCGAGGAGGCAGGGAUGUAUGUUAAUAGCAUGCAUUUUUGACGUUACUCGCAGAAGAAGCACCGGCCAACUCUGUGCCAACAGCAGCGGUAAUACAGAGGGUGCAAGCGUUAAUCGGCAUUACUGGGAGUAAAGCGCACGUAGGCGGUUAGUUAAGUUGGAUGUGAAAGCCCCGGGCUCAACCUGGGAAUUGCAUUCAAAACUGGCUAACUAGAGUAUGUGAGAGGGGGGUAGAAUUCCAAGUGUAGCGGUGAAAUGCGUAGAGAUUUGGAGGAAUACCAGUGGCGAAGGCGGCCCCCUGGCACAAUACUGACGCUGAGGUGCGAAAGCGUGGGGAGCAAAC